GUAUUUGUUUUUAAUGAAGUUUCUUUCGAAACUAGCACAUAGAUAAUUACGUAAGCAUGCUUUAAUAAAGUUAUGAUAUUAACAGUUCACGGUUCUUUGUGAUAGAGAAGAUCAAGCUUCUCUCCAACUUCAAAAAUGAUCCUUCCGCAGGUUCACCUACGGAAA
This 165-nucleotide unclassified non-coding RNA is filed under the name uncultured fungus. Its description in RNAcentral is "sequence contains ITS1". Lineage: Eukaryota; Fungi. The record is from RNAcentral.